This 493-nucleotide ribosomal RNA is filed under the name uncultured bacterium. RNAcentral's name for it is "partial 16S ribosomal RNA". It matches the Rfam family "Bacterial small subunit ribosomal RNA", at positions 29 to 507 of the family's 1533-position model. The record is from RNAcentral.
ACGAACGCUGGCGGCGUGCUUAACACAUGCAAGUCGAACGGUGAAGCGCCUUCCUUUUUGGUGGGUGUGGAUGAGUGGCGAACGGGUGAGUAACACGUGAGUAACCUGCCCCCUUCUUCUGGAUAACCGCAUGAAAGUGUGGCUAAUACGGGAUAUUCUGGGUCUGUCGCAUGAUGGGUCUGGGAAAGAUAUUGUUUCGGUGGGGGAUGGGCUCGCGGCCUAUCAGCUUGUUGGUGGGGUGAUGGCCUACCAAGGCGGUGACGGGUAGCCGGCCUGAGAGGGUGGACGGUCACACUGGGACUGAGACACGGCCCAGACUCCUACGGGAGGCAGCAGUGGGGAAUGUUGCACAAUGGGCGCAAGCCUGAUGCAGCGACGCCGCGUGAGGGAUGGAGGCCGUCGGGUUGUGAACCUCUUUCGCCAGUGAAGCAGGCCUGCCUCGUUUGUGGGUGGGUUGACGGUAGCUGGAUAAGAAGCGCCGGCUAACUACGUG